ACUCGGAGGGUGCAAGCGUUGUUCGGAAUUACUGGGCGUAAAGGGCGUGUAGGCGACCAUAUAAGUUAGGUGUAAAAUCAUCUGGCUCAACCAGAUAACUGCGCUUAAAACUGUAUGGCUUGAGUGCAGGAGAGGAAAGUGGAAUUGCCGGUGUAACGGUGAAAUGUGUAGAUAUCGGCAAGAACACCAGUGGUGAAGGCGGCUUUCUAGACUGCUACUGACGCUGAGGCGCGAAAGCUAGGGGAGCAAACGGGAUUAGAAACCCCAGUAGUCC
This 274-nucleotide ribosomal RNA is filed under the name uncultured bacterium. Its description in RNAcentral is "partial 16S ribosomal RNA". It matches the Rfam family "Bacterial small subunit ribosomal RNA", at positions 523 to 796 of the family's 1533-position model. The record is from RNAcentral.